This 373-nucleotide unclassified non-coding RNA is filed under the name Acacia doratoxylon (brown lancewood). RNAcentral's name for it is "partial external transcribed spacer". The record is from RNAcentral. Lineage: Eukaryota; Viridiplantae; Streptophyta; Magnoliopsida; Fabales; Fabaceae.
GCCGCUGCUCCGUGCCCGUCCACCGAACGGUCGGCAGGCGAUCCGCGUCGGUCAAGCGAGGUGGUAUGGUUCCCUAGAGGCCGGUUCUUGUGCUGCCUACCCCUUCGGGGGAAGCGGGCCGGUUGAUGUAAGCCUCCAUCCGGCGCCCUCCAACGGGCGCAGGAGGACAACGUAGCACCCCCCGCGUUCCACCGAGCCCUAGCCGGUCGCGUGGCGCGCGGGGACGUGCGAUGCUCUCGGACCCAGCGAACGCCGUGGGCGAGGACUCGCGUCCCAGUCCCGAUAGAAGCUCCCAUAUAAUGCAUGACGGCCGCUCCCGUCCCCCGACCGCCCCGGCGGCGCGGGGGCGAGGCGCGGCGUCGCGGAGGAAUGC